GCCGGGAUGGCGGAAUUGGUAGACGCAGUGGACUCAAAAUCCACCGGUGGCAACGCCUUGGGGGUUCGAUUCCCCCUCCCGGUACCA
This 87-nucleotide transfer RNA is filed under the name Humidesulfovibrio idahonensis. RNAcentral's name for it is "tRNA-Leu". It matches the Rfam family "tRNA". From Rfam's summary of the family: Transfer RNA (tRNA) molecules are approximately 80 nucleotides in length. Their secondary structure includes four short double-helical elements and three loops (D, anti-codon, and T loops). Further hydrogen bonds mediate the characteristic L-shaped molecular structure. tRNAs have two regions of fundamental functional importance: the anti-codon, which is responsible for specific mRNA codon recognition, and the 3' end, to which the tRNAs corresponding amino acid is attached (by aminoacyl-tRNA synthetases). tRNAs cope with the degeneracy of the genetic code in two manners: having more than one tRNA (with a specific anti-codon) for a particular amino acid; and 'wobble' base-pairing, i.e. permitting non-standard base-pairing at the 3rd anti-codon position. Lineage: Bacteria; Pseudomonadati; Thermodesulfobacteriota; Desulfovibrionia; Desulfovibrionales; Desulfovibrionaceae. RNAcentral also lists the same sequence under 5 other names. The record is from RNAcentral.